Non-coding RNA from Microcebus murinus (gray mouse lemur), 3899 nucleotides. The record is from RefSeq and is a predicted model, not a curated record. Lineage: Eukaryota; Metazoa; Chordata; Mammalia; Primates; Cheirogaleidae.
GUGGAAUGAACAAGGGGAGUGGAGUGAGGUGAGGUCUGGAGGGAGGCAGAGAAGGGCUAUUUAGACCUCCGUAAGGAGGCGGAACUUUGUUCCAGCUGUCAAAGUCACAGGUCCACUCUUAAGAAGCUGCGUGACAAACUCUGAUUUACGCUUUGGAAAGAUCACUGUGUGAAAGCGACAGACAGCAGUGGGCAUGAGCGGGUAAGGGCGCUCGCAGGCUGUGGCAGUAGCCCAGGCAACAGAUGAGGAGGCCUAGACUAGGAUUAUAGCAAAGGGAGUGGUCGGCAGUGGUUGGAUUCUGAAUAUAUUUUGGGAGUAGAGCUGUCAGCAAUUACUACAAAUUAGGUGUGAAGUGUGAGAAGAAGAAGAAAAAGGACUUAAUAAAGACUCUUGGGUUUUGACCUAAACAACUCAGAGAAAUGCUGGGGCCAUUUAUGGAUGUGGGAAGGGCUGAGGGGUUGGAGGGAACAGGGGAGGGGAAGGUGGGAGGAUAUAUACUAGGUUUUAGGAACGUAAGUACUGCUCUGUGUGGCCUUGUUAAGUCUGAAAUAUCUUUUCGCCAUCCAGGUAAAAAUGUGAUGUUGCACAAUAUAGAACUAGAACUAUGAACUAGAACUAGAACUCUAGAAUGAAUCUAGAACUCAGGGGAGAAGCCCUGGCUAUGCAUAAAAAUUUGAAAAAAAAUAGUACAUAGAUUGUGUUUGAAGACAUGAAUUUAAAUAAGAUCAUCUGAUGACCCAAAAAGGGAGUGUAGACAGGGAAGGGAUGAGUGCUCAGGACGGAACCCUUGGUGUUAUAACAUUUAGGGGUCUACAGGUGGAGGAGGAGCCAGAGCAAGCCAAUGAGAAGGAGCAGGUGGGAAGGACAGGAAAACCAGGAGCAUCUGCAAUGCACAAGUCUAGAAAAGAAGACUCGGACCCUUACGCAGUGUGAUGUCGCUGGUGAGCAGCAGAGUGAGGACCUCUGUGAUUACCCUACACUUCACUGAACACAGGAGAGUGACAUAAAAGAAAACUCAUUGUCUGAGGGUCAACAAGAGACUCAAUUGACCUCAACAAAAAAACUAACAGGGUUGUGAUGGAUUCUUCAAGCAAACUAAGAACAGUCUCAUGAGUCAGAUGAACAUAAGCCCUCUGCAGGCAAGGCAGUCAGAGUCUUUGUGGAGCAAAGGAGUCAGCAUGUUCUGAGUCAAUAAAAUUAAGUCCUUCCAUGUAUCCCAUUCCAAUUGGGUAGCAUUGCACUGGGUAGCAAUUGGGUAGUAUAGCACUCUUUCUUUAUCCAACUAUAACUUUCACAUAAAACACCAGGUAAGACUGUGAAUUCAGCUGAGGUUGGAAUUGGGAAACCUACAAAAUUAAACUUUGAGUUUGAUCUUUGUGGCUGCAAGAGAGAAGAUAUUCUUUUAGCUGGUUUUCAAUCUCUUCCCCAAAUUAGAAAUUUGAGAAUGUCAUUCUUUUUUUUUUUUAACUGUUCAGCUUAUUUAGAAACAACACUUCCAACCCACUCCUGAUACCAAUUUAUAUCAGUUAGCAUUUUUAGUUAGAAACAAAAUAUAACCAAGUUAAACUGAUGAAGACAGAAUAGGACAUUAUUAAAAAGAUUUGGGGUAGCUCAUAGAUUCAUUAGGAAGCCUAAACAAUUAGGGACAAGGCUUUGCACUAAAAUCAAGGCCCAAAAUCACACCAUAGAAACGGUCUAAUAAGAACCACACUGUGGCCUUCACCAAACAAUUGUUGCAGCCUGCACUGCAAACAGAGCUGGGUCUGUAUAUUAAAUGCCUCCAACUACUGCUACAAAAUUUAACCCUACUGUAAUGGUCUACACAGCUGUGCAGCAUUCCUCUCUUCUGAUGUAUUGGCCCUCAAUUCCAAGUAUGAGGCAAGACCAUGUGCCCCGCACCCUAGGUGCAAAGGAAGCUCAGAAAGCAAGUAUUGACACUUUCCGUGUUUGUGGUGGAAAAUAGAGUCUGCCUUCCACCAUGCUCACUCCAUGGGAAGUCCCCAAAACAAGGAAGCCAUAUCAGUUAGCAAGCAGGAAAGAUCAAUAACAAAUGCCAACUAUGAUUAAAAUUGUAUGUACCAUAAAUUCUAUGUCUAGAAUUUCUAACAAAAUACUCACACGUGUAAAAGACGGGACAAUAAUUUUUUUAAGGCAUUGUAUUAAUACAUAAUUAAUACAUGAUAGCAAACAUGAAAAGAACUAAAAUGCCACUGGCAGAGGAUUAGAUAAAUAGGUUGUGAUAAGUUAAUAUGAUUUUUUUGUGUGUUCAAGUAUUGAGAAACUACAGUGUCAGACACAAUGCUAAUCACUGUGGACAGAAACUGGGGUGGGAAGGGGGGAGGGUUACAUAUACGAAUUUUGAAAAGACUCCCUUUGAGGUGCCCCCAAUGAAGUGGGAGGAUAGACAUGUAAGUAUAUCACUAGGACUUAUGUAAUGUAUCCAAGGCUCAGAUAGAUCAUGUAUAUGCGGCUGAGAUGGUGCCGUUAGAAGACUCUAACUGCCUGCAUUCGUGAGAGAGACACCACAGAGUAAAAAGGUCCAUAUGUCAGUUAAGACUUAAAAGAUGUAGAAGAACCUAUGAUAUAAGAAAAGGAGCGGUACAUUCCAGACGGUAUGAAUUUUAUUUGUAAAGCCACUAAAGCUUGUUAUAGCACAAUGUUUUUCUGAAAAGUGCUAUUAAAAUGUUUGCCAUGCUUGAUAUUACACAAAUCAUACUUAAUGGCAAUACUGUGGCAUGCGGGAAAAACUCCAGGAAGAGAUUUUAAGUUUCAUAGGAACUCAUCUACAAACUCAAACUAAAGUAAAUCAGAAACAGAAAGAGCACGUAACAUUCCAAUUUUGUCCCACUUAAAACUACCACGGUUUUAUUACACCAUUGAAAAAGUUUCCUGCAAAUAAUGCAAUUAUAAUUUGGCCAAAGAUAAAUAAUUCAUUCACAGAAAACUAACCAAUAAUAAACCUGAGCUACUUUUCCACCUGAAGCAAUAGAAAGAAAACUUUUCAAAAUGUUGCCAUCUAGUGGCUUCACACUUGAAAUAAUGAACUACUCUAGUAAACCAUUCAACCAUGUUUCCUAGGAAAAGUUUCCUUAGCAGUUCUCAAAUAAACAAACAUUACAUUUGUGCCUCUGCCUUAAGAGAAAGCACUCUGGAUUUAGGCUACUAGGUUUUAAAGUUUUGCUUCAUCAUUUACUAGCUGAAUGACUACAGGCAAGUUGCUUAAUUUCUCUGUAAAAUGCAUACAAUAAUCGUACCUACCUCCCAAAGUUGCUAGGAAGAAUAAAUGAGAAGGUCCACAUAAAGUUGUUUAGCACAGCAUUUGGCUCAUAGUAUAUACUCAAUAGGCAAUAAUAAUUAUAUUAUUUAAUUGGGAAAGAGUUGCAAAAUAUUUGGUCUGUCAGUGAGAUUGAAGUUUGAGUGAUACAGCAAUUAAAACAAUGGUACUUUUAUGGCUGUUCUGGUUACAGCAUUAUACUGUUUUCUCGAAGCAGUAGAAACAUUGUAUUGGUAUAUGGUUGCUAUCUAGAUAGCAGAUAUCACUAACUGGUAUUCUCUAAUUUCGAAAGAUCACUGAAUCAAACUAUGAUUGUGAUUUGCUGUCAGAAUAUUUUCAAAGUCCAAUUCAUCACUGAUUUAACCUCUUAGCUAUUCUAUGAGAAAAUGUACAUUUUUUCUAUGACAACAUAAAUGAAAGUGGAGGAGAAGGCAGAUUCACCAGUUUGUUAAAAAAAAUUGAGACUUAUAUAAGAUGCAAUCAGCUCUAAAACUACCUAUCAUAGCAACAAGACAGAUGAAAUUGGUCCUCUCUAUUUAUGCCAUCCCUUGAGCUAUAGUAUUGCUAUGACUUAUUUUAUUCUUUAAGACAGUCCUUGAGGCUUAGCUUAACUUGAUUUCGCCUG